UAGGGAAUCUUCCGCAAUGGACGAAAGUCUGACGGAGCAACGCCGCGUGAGCGAAGAAGGCCUUCGGGUCGUAAAGCUCUGUUGUUAGGGAAGAACAAGUAUCGGAGUAACUGCCGGUACCUUGACGGUACCUAACCAGACAGCCACGGCUAACUACGUGCCAGCAGCCGCGGUAAUACGUAGGUGGCAAGCGUUGUCCGGAAUUAUUGGGCGUAAAGCGCGCGCAGGCGGUCCUUUAAGUCUGAUGUGAAAGCCCACGGCUCAACCGUGGAGGGUCAUUGGAAACUGGGGGACUUGAGUGCAGAAGAGGAGAGUGGAAUUCCACGUGUAGCGGUGAAAUGCGUAGAGAUGUGGAGGAACACCAGUGGCGAAGGCGACUCUCUGGUCUGUAACUGACGCUGAGGCGCGAAAGCGUGGGGAGCAAACAGGGAUUAGAUACCCUGGUAGUCCACGCCGUAAACGAUGAGUGCUAAGUGUUAGAGGGUUUCCGCCCUUUAGUG
This 500-nucleotide ribosomal RNA is filed under the name uncultured Bacillota bacterium. RNAcentral describes it as "bacterial SSU rRNA". It matches the Rfam family "Bacterial small subunit ribosomal RNA", at positions 355 to 845 of the family's 1533-position model. Lineage: Bacteria; Bacillati; Bacillota. The record is from RNAcentral.